Molecule: long non-coding RNA, 750 nt
Filed under: Sarcophilus harrisii (Tasmanian devil)
Lineage: Eukaryota; Metazoa; Chordata; Mammalia; Dasyuromorphia; Dasyuridae
Description: lncRNA (ENSSHAG00000029868.1)
Source: RNAcentral
AAUAGAUGGAGCCAUUCUAGCUUUUGCAUUAUGUGGGCAUAGAGUCUAAUACUUUAAGAUCCCUGAUUUUAAUAGCUGAAUAAUCCUUUUUCUAUCUCCUUCAUACUGCAGGGAGUUUCCCAAAACCAAAGUCUCUUAUGAAGAAAAAUCAAGUUCAUAAGACAGUAAAGCAAUCCAACAUUAUAGAAGGGAGAUUGUCACAAUAUGAAGGACAGUCAGGGAAAAUGAUGGAACCCUGGAGAGAACGGGACAUCUUUCUUCAAAACGAUUGGACUACCUCCCCAAAGGUGGGACUAUGGAGCUAAACCGAUCUCUAUUGGAGCCUUCUGCCUGCUUGCCCCAGGGAUCAAUUCCUCUACUAACCACACCUAACACUGAAGACCUCAUCAUUCCUCUUCAACAAAUUGUUGAGGGUCCCUAAAUCAGAAAAAGGCUGAAAUUUUAGGGGCCAAAUCCUGGAACACUUGUUAUGUGGUGUCCAGAACCUGGAAGAGAAAUACAGUGGGCUAUGAAAUUGGAGUGUUACAGAAUAAACUGAAAAGUGAUAUUGCAGGUGUAACAAAAUUAGUUACCAGGGAACAGUAGCAGAGAUUAACACAAAGUCAGUUAGCAACUUACUGGGGGCCUACUCAGACACUGAGUGGAAUUUCCUGGGGUCCAUUCAUCCAAACAGUUUCUCUCCAAAGAAAUAAGGGCCAAAGUCCUUUGGGAGAUGGGAUGAUGAUCUCAUCUUCUGAAACUACUUCCUGC